Molecule: ribosomal RNA, 451 nt
Filed under: uncultured bacterium
Lineage: Bacteria
Description: partial 16S ribosomal RNA
Rfam family: Bacterial small subunit ribosomal RNA
Source: RNAcentral
AACGAACGCUGGCGGCAGGGCUUAGGCAUGCAAGUCGAACGGGUGUAGUAAUACACCAGAGGCGAACGAGUGAGUAACGCGUGGGGAUCGGCCCAUCCCUGGGGAAUAACGUUUGCAAACGAACGUCAAUACCGCAUACGCCCGCAAGGGGAAAGAUUUAUCGGGGAUGGAUGAGCCCGCGUUGGAUUAGUGAGUUGGUGGGGUAACGGCCUACCAAGGCGAUGAUCCAUAGCUGGUCUGAGAGGUCGAUCAGCCACGCUGGAACUGAGAUACGGUCCAGACUCAUACGGGAGGGAGCAGCUAAGAAUAUUGGGCAAUGGAGGAAACUCUGACCCAGCCAUGCCGCGUGAAUGAAGAAGGCCUUCGGGUUGUAAAGUUCUUUUAGUCGUGACGAAGAUGACGGUAGCGACAGAAAAAGCACCGGCUAACUUCGUGCCAGCAGCCGCCGUAA